UGUAAGCGUAUACCAAAGUUGUUGCAGUUAAAACGCUCGUAGUCGGAAUUUGGCAGUUCCGGAUGUGUGCACGUCGUGUGCGCACUUCGCGGGGAUUGCUUUUGUGGUCUUGCGUAGGAUGAGGCACUUUUAUUAGUGAACGUCCUCACGCAACCACUUUUUACUGUGAGAAAAUCAGAGUGCUCAAAGCAGGCAUUUGCCGUGAAUGUAUUAGCAUGGAAUAAUAGAAUAGGACUUGGUUCUAUUUUGUUGGUUUGUUGGGACUGAGUAAUGAUUAAGAGGGACAGUUGGGGGCAUUUGUAUUUCGGUGCUAGAGGUGAAAUUCUUAGAUUACCGAAAGACAAACUGCUGCGAAAGCGUCUGCCAAGUAUGUUUUCAUUGA
Molecule: ribosomal RNA, 382 nt
Filed under: uncultured eukaryote
Lineage: Eukaryota
Description: partial 18S ribosomal RNA
Rfam family: Eukaryotic small subunit ribosomal RNA
Source: RNAcentral